This 377-nucleotide ribosomal RNA is filed under the name uncultured bacterium. RNAcentral describes it as "bacterial SSU rRNA". It matches the Rfam family "Bacterial small subunit ribosomal RNA", at positions 523 to 898 of the family's 1533-position model. The record is from RNAcentral.
AUACGUAGGUGGCGAGCGUUGUCCGGAAUUACUGGGCGUAAAGGGCGCGUAGGCGGCCUGUUAAGUCAGAUGUGAAACCCCCAGGCUCAACUUGGGGAUUGCAUUUGAAACUGAUGGGCUCGAGUGUCGGAGAGGAAAGCGGAAUUCCUAGUGUAGCGGUGAAAUGCGUAGAUAUUAGGAGGAACACCAGUGGCGAAGGCGGCUUUCUGGACGAUAACUGACGCUGAGGCGCGAAAGCGUGGGGAGCAAACAGGAUUAGAUACCCUGGUAGUCCACGCUGUAAACUAUGGAUACUAGGUGUGGGAGGUAUCGACCCCUUCCGUGCCGCAGUAAACGCAAUAAGUAUCCCGCCUGGGGAGUACGGCCGCAAGGUUGAA